Molecule: ribosomal RNA, 320 nt
Filed under: Fusarium sp. DA056446
Lineage: Eukaryota; Fungi; Ascomycota; Sordariomycetes; Hypocreales; Nectriaceae
Description: eukaryotic LSU rRNA
Rfam family: Eukaryotic large subunit ribosomal RNA
Source: RNAcentral
AGACCGAUAGCGAACAAGUAGAGUGAUCGAAAGAUGAAAAGCACUUUGAAAAGAGAGUUAAAAAGUACGUGAAAUUGUUGAAAGGGAAGCGUUUAUGACCAGACUUGGGCUUGGUUAAUCAUCUGGGGUUCUCCCCAGUGCACUUUUCCAGUCCAGGCCAGCAUCAGUUUUCGCCGGGGGAUAAAGACUUCGGGAAUGUGGCUCUCUUCGGGGAGUGUUAUAGCCCGUUGUGUAAUACCCUGGCGGGGACUGAGGUUCGCGCAUCUGCAAGGAUGCUGGCGUAAUGGUCAUCAACGACCCGUCUUGAAACACGGACCAAG